AGGAAUAUUGGUCAAUGGGCGCGAGCCUGAACCAGCCAAGUCGCGUGAGGGAUGAAGGUUCUAUGGAUCGUAAACCUCUUUUAUAAGGGAAUAAAGUGCGGGACGUGUCCCGUUUUGUAUGUACCUUAUGAAUAAGGAUCGGCUAACUCCGUGCCAGCAGCCGCGGUAAUACGGAGGAUCCGAGCGUUAUCCGGAUUUAUUGGGUUUAAAGGGUGCGUAGGCGGCCUUUUAAGUCAGCGGUGAAAGUCUGUGGCUCAACCAUAGAAUUGCCGUUGAAACUGGGGGGCUUGAGUAUGUUUGAGGCAGGCGGAAUGCGUGGUGUAGCGGUGAAAUGCUUAGAUAUCACGCAGAACCCCGAUUGCGAAGGCAGCCUGCCAAGCCAUGACUGACGCUGAUGCACGAAAGCGUGGGGAUCAAACAGGAUUAGAUACCCUGGUAGUCCACGCAGUAAACGAUGAUCACUAGCUGUUUGCGAUACAGUGUAAGCGGCACAGCGAAAGCGUUAAGUGAUCCACCUGGGGAGUACGCCGGCAACGGUGAAACUCAAAGGAAUUGACGGGGGCCCGCACAAGCGGAGGAACAUGUGGUUUAAUUCGAUGAUACGCGAGGAACCUUACCCGGGUUUGAACGCAUUCGGACCGAGGUGGAAACACCUUUUCUAGCAAUAGCCGUUUGCGAGGUGCUGCAUGGUUGUCGUCAGCUCGUGCCGUGAGGUGUCGGCUUAAGUGCCAUAACGAGCGCAACCCUUGCCACUAGUUACUAACAGGUGAUGCUGAGGACUCUGGUGGGACUGCCAGCGUAAGCUGCGAGGAAGGCGGGGAUGACGUCAAAUCAGCACGGCCCUUACAUCCGGGGCGACACACGUGUUACAAUGGCGUGGACAAAGGGAUGCCACCUGGCGACAGGGAGCGAAUCCCCAAACCACGUCUCAGUUCGGAUCGGAGUCUGCAACCCGACUCCGUGAAGCUGGAUUCGCUAGUAAUCGCGCAUCAGCCAUGGCGCGGUGAAUACGUUCCCG
This 1018-nucleotide ribosomal RNA is filed under the name uncultured bacterium. RNAcentral describes it as "bacterial SSU rRNA". It matches the Rfam family "Bacterial small subunit ribosomal RNA", at positions 357 to 1376 of the family's 1533-position model. The record is from RNAcentral.